This 3427-nucleotide long non-coding RNA is filed under the name Homo sapiens (human). RNAcentral's name for it is "non-protein coding lnc-GRIP2-1:14". Lineage: Eukaryota; Metazoa; Chordata; Mammalia; Primates; Hominidae. The record is from RNAcentral.
GCACACCCUCAUGCCGCGCGGCGAACGUUCGUUGCCAGGUGCGGCAGCCCGCCCUGGGCGCCUCCUGCCUGCGGAAGAAGAGCAGGACAGACCCGACCCGACCCGCCUAGUCCUUUCCUUCACAGCAGCCUCCAAACUCCACCGCUCGCCUCUUCCGCCAGGCUCCUAGGAUGAGGCCCAGGGCUCCUGGAGCAGCCAGGUGCAAACCAGACCGGGCUCGCACUCCACUGCGUUGCCCUGGGCGAUCGUCCACGUUCUGGGAGACUCGGUAUGCCCCGGGAGGGUGGCCUGAGCUUGUGGUGUGAAGCCAGGUACAGAGCUCCAGAAUCCUGGCCUUGCCAUGGCUGUGUGACCCUGGGCAAGUGACUCAAUUUCUCUGCCUCAGUGUCCUCAUCUAUAAAAUGGAAAGGAAAAUAGUAGCGCUUGUCUCCUCCGGCUGUUAUGAAGAUCCAAGGUUAACAGCGUAGAGAACUCGGAACGCACCCGGCAUCUAGGAAGUGCCAAGCCAGUGUCAGCUAAUGUGACUAUUUUUAAAUGGAGAUGGGGAGUGUGCCAUUAUUCUUGUCCUUAUUUGAAUGAACGGGCCCUCAGGGACCAUUUUCCACUGCCCCGCCCUGGCAGCAUGAGAGGGAAACGCUGUGAGAACCCCGAACCCCAGCCUUCUCCUGUCCCUCUCUCUCUCUCUCUCUCUCUGCACCUGGGAGGCGGGGAGGAGAGAGCCGAUCCUUCCACCAUUUACACGGAGAAUGAAAGAAGAAAUACCGGCCAGGCGCGGUGGCUCAUGCCUGUAAUCCCAGCACUUUGGGAGGCCGAGGGGGCAGAUCACCUGAGGUCAGGAGUUCGAGACCAGCCUGGCCAACAUGGCGAAACUCCGUCUCUACUAAAAGUACAAAAAUUAGCCUGGCGUGGUGCCGGGUGCCUAUAAUCCCAGCUACUCAGGAGGCUGAGGCAGGAGAAUCCCUUGAACCCGGGAGGCGGAGGUUGCAGUGAGCCGAGAUCACGCCACUGCACUCCAGCCUGGGUGACAAGAAUGAGUCUCAAAAAAACAAAAAAGAAGAAGAAGAAGAAAUACCACACAGGUCCGACCAAGAGCUGCCCCCACUCAGGCCAGGAUCCCUGCCUGGAAGGGCUCUGCAGCCACUCUCCCUGUACAGCCCCAGGAUGCUAAGGAGCAUCCCGAAGUGACACUGGCUCUCCCUGGAGGCCCCUGCCAUCGGACUCCAACCUGACCUUCCAGUGGGUGCUCCUCAUACUGGCUCCAGCCAAGACAGACGAGGACCACUGGGCACAUGCCCUUCCUUGCCUUCCUGUCACCCUUCCCACCCUUCUCUGCGGGCCCCGGGUGGCCCCUUCCUCCAGGAAGCACCUGGGGAUCAGCAGUGCCUCUAGGGUCCCAGUGGCCCACGUGACAUCUGCUUCUGGCCACCUGAGCACUCUCCUUUGAGUUCAGGGUCACUGUACCCUUUUAUAGAAAUUCGCCGGGUAUGGUGGUGCAUGCCUAUGGUCCCAGCUACUCAGGAGGCUGAGGCAGGAGGAUCACUUGAGCCCGGGAGGUGAAGGCUGCGGUAAGCUAUGACUACACCACUGCACUCCAGCCUAGGUGCGAGAGCAAGACCCUGUCUCCAAACAACAACAACAACAACAAAAUCUGAAUGCCUGGUUUAUCUUGAAAUAUGGCAAAAUGGGGCCACCCAGGCCCAUUAACCCCCUGUCUACAAUGUCCUGGAGCUGAGGGGCAUUAGCCACCCUCUCACAUGGGCUCCCCAGGGUGCCACAGCUCCCUCCUAGCUAGUUUGCUCUUUUCUGUCACCUACCGGCCCUUGCAGGGAGCUGAAUUUGAGACCCAUGAUGCACUUUGUGCACCCUGCCCCCUCAAAGAUAACUGUGAGUACCAAGGGAAAUGGAAAGCUUUGGCAACAAGAAGGGAGCUUCAAGGAAAGCCAGGCCGAGGUUCCCCUCAGAACCAUAGACUAGCCUGAAAUUCCACUGGGACUAAUUCUUCUCAUUUCAAGAAUGAAAAUCGAUUGCUGGACAGAGCUCCCGGAGGGCCAAUUUUCAGGCUGUAGUCUACAGCCGUCCACGUAGAGGCAGUGAACGAAAUUUUUCAAAGCCUACUUUAUGAUUACUUUCUUUAGCAGCUCUCAACAGUAAAAUAAAAUUGAUCUAGGACUUUGAACAAAACUUCUCGCCCCUUUCUAGGGAAGAGUUUGUCUCGUCUAUCAGGCCACCAACAAGAGUUGUUGCAAUGCCUGUGGGAGGUGCAGCCCACGCUGGGCCACCUGGCCAGCUCAGGGAUCCUGCUGGAGAUCGAGGAUUGUCUGGUCGGCCUCUUACAACUCUCAGAACAUCAUCCCUGGGAGCAGCCCUGAAGAGACCAAGGGUCAGUGGCGGGGCUGCUGAGUGGCUGCCUCCCUGACCUGGCCAGCAUUUCCUGGGCACACUGCAGUGUGUCCACGUCCCUGGGUGUGCCUCAGCUCCAGUGUCUCAUCCCCAGAGACCUUCCCAGACCACCAUGUCUCAGACAGCCCCGGCUGCCUCCUGCCUGCCCUGCACCAGCCCUGAGCCAUCGCCUCAUUUUAUUCUCAUUCUAACUUGGAUAAUGGGAUCUGCCUCUUACCAACUGUGACCUUAGGCACAGGAUCAGCCCCAAAUUGAGCCUCAUUUUGUCCAUCUGUAAAAUGAGGAUGGCACUAGAGCCCCGUCUAGGGUGAAUGUGAAGGUCAGAGCCUGCACAAGUUGCUCAAUCAAGAAGAAGCUGCCAGGCACAGUGGCUUGUGCCUGUAACCCCAGAACUUUGAGAGGCUGAGCGGGGUGGAUCACCCAAAGUCAGGAGUUCAAGACCAGCCUGGCCAACAUGGUGAAAUGCCGUCUCUACUAAAAAUACAAAAAUUCGCUGGGUGUGGUGGUGGGUGCUUGUAAUCCUAGCUACUCAGGAGGCUGAGACAGGAGAAUCCCUUGAACCCAGAGGCAGAGGUUACAGUGAGCCGAGAUCGUGCCACUGCCCUCCAGCCUGGGCAACAAAGAGUGAAACUCUUGUCUAAAAAAAAAAAGAAGAAGAAGAAGGAGAAGGAGAAGGAGCGGGAGAAGGAGAAGAAGAAGAAGAAGAAGAAGCCUCAGUGAAGUGCUCCAGCAUCUUCACCCCCUUGGUCACUUGCUCAUCUCCUUGAUGAACAAAAGCGGCCCCAGAUCAGAGCCAUCGAGCACCUGCAGCCAGCAAGGUUGGCUGGUUUUCAUUGUGUGCAUUUUUAAGGCGUCUUCUAUUUAUAGAAAGGAUUGUGGUCUUGCAUUUGUAGCAGCGAUGAAAGCUUUACUUUUUGGCAAAAUGUGUGCAAGUUGUUUAGAAGUGAGUCUGUUUGAAAAAAAAAAUUAAAUGAAUAAUGAUUUAGGAGGUGAGUUUGUUUCCUAGGGCUGCUGUGAUGAAGUGCCA